Molecule: long non-coding RNA, 741 nt
Filed under: Salmo salar (Atlantic salmon)
Lineage: Eukaryota; Metazoa; Chordata; Actinopteri; Salmoniformes; Salmonidae
Description: lncRNA (ENSSSAG00000118148.1)
Source: RNAcentral
GGAAGAGGAGGACGAGGGCAAAGAAGAGAAGGAAGGAGAGCCAUCUCUGAUGAGAUUGGGCAACACUUGUUGAUGAUGUGAUUAACCACGGUUUGACCAUGAGAGAGGCUGGAUUGAGAGUCCAGCCCAACUUGAGUCGAUUUACAGUGGCGUCCAUAAUUCGUACCUUCAGAAAUGAGAACAGAGUGGAAAGGCAAAGACAUCAUGGAGGGCGAGGACGCUUGUUUACAGAUGUACGAGACUGCAAUUAUAAAUAUGGUUUUGGCCAACAAUGCAAUUAGGAUUCGAGAGAUAAGAGAGCAUGUCUUGAAUAAUGACACCAUAUUUAACAACAUCAAUGCUGUAAGCCUGUCGACCAUACAACGCAUCCUCCAACGGCACCGAGUGAUGAUGAAACAACUUUACAAGGUGCCAUUUGAGAGAAACGCCGACAGAGUCAAGAAUAUGCGACAUGACUUUGUAGAGAGAGUAUUAGCGCCGGAUGCCCAUGUAAUUCGCCAUGAAUUUAUUUAUGUGGAUGAGGUUGGCUUCAACCUCACCAAAACCAGGCGCCGUGGAAGAAAUGUAAUAGGACAGAGGGCAAUUACCAAUGUCCCUGGACAGCGUGGGGGCAAUGGAGGACGCAUAGAGGUUGCCUCUAUCCAAGGUUGGAUACGCCAUGCUAGGAGAUGCUUCCCUCGAUGUUUGGCAAGAUAAAACGUAUCUUGUGAUGUGGACGAAGUAUUGUGGCCAGACCCAGCC